RNAcentral lists this ribosomal RNA (253 nucleotides) under uncultured bacterium. RNAcentral describes it as "partial 16S ribosomal RNA". It matches the Rfam family "Bacterial small subunit ribosomal RNA", at positions 524 to 776 of the family's 1533-position model. The record is from RNAcentral.
UACGUAGGCAGCAAGCGUUGUUCGGAGUUACUGGGCGUAAAGGGUGUGUAGGCGGUUUUCUAAGUUUGGUGUGAAAUCUCCCGGCUUAACCGGGAGGGUGCGCCGAAAACUGGGAGACUAGAGUGCGGGAUGGGAGAGUAGAAUUCCUGGUGUAGCGGUGAAAUGCGUAGAUAUCAGGAGGAAUACCGGUGGUGCAGACGGCUCUCUGGACCGCAACUGACGCUGAGACACGAAAGCGUGGGUAGCAAACAGG